Lynx canadensis (Canada lynx) is the source of this 105-nucleotide long non-coding RNA. RefSeq lists it as uncharacterized. Lineage: Eukaryota; Metazoa; Chordata; Mammalia; Carnivora; Felidae. The record is from RefSeq and is a predicted model, not a curated record. The transcript is spliced from 3 exons.
CUACUGGUAUUUACCCAAAGAAAAUGAAAACACUAAUUUGAAAAGAUACAUGUACCCCUAUAUUCAUUGUAGCAUAUUUACUAUACCAAAUUUGGAAGCCGCCCG